Non-coding RNA from Oryza punctata, 207 nucleotides. The record is from Rfam. NCBI's taxonomy places the organism in Eukaryota, Viridiplantae, Streptophyta, Magnoliopsida, Poales, Poaceae.
UUUAAGUGCAGCUAUAAGUUUCCAUAUCCAACUUUGAUCGUUCGUCUUAUUUAAAUAUUUUAUGAUUAUUAUUUUUUAUUUUUAGGUAAUAAAACAUAAAUAGUACUUUAUACGUGACUUGUGUUUUUUUAAUUUUUUUCAAAAAAAAUUUAAAUAAGACGGACGAUUAAAGUUGGACACAUAAACUCAUGCAUGGUUGCGCUUAAA